AUACGUAGGGGGCGAGCGUUAUCCGGAAUUAUUGGGCGUAAAGAGUACGUAGGUGGUUUCCUAAGCGAGGGGUUUAAGGCACUGGCUUAACCAAUGUUCGCCCCCCGAACUGGGGAACUUGAGUGCUGGAGAGGAAAGCGGAAUUCCUAGUGUAGCGGUGAAAUGCGUAGAUAUUAGGAGGAGCACCAGUGGCGAAGGCGGCUUUCUGGACAGUAACUGACACUGAGGUACGAAAGUGUGGGGAGCAAACAGGAUUAGAUACCCUGGUAGUCCACGCCGUAAACGAUGAGCACUAGGUGUCGGGCUCGCAAGAGUUCGGUGCCGCAGUUAACGCAUUAAGUGCUCCGCCUGGGGAGUACGUACGCAAGUAUGAAACUCAAAUGAAUUGACGGGG
RNAcentral lists this ribosomal RNA (394 nucleotides) under uncultured bacterium. Its description in RNAcentral is "partial 16S ribosomal RNA". It matches the Rfam family "Bacterial small subunit ribosomal RNA", at positions 523 to 918 of the family's 1533-position model. The record is from RNAcentral.